This 103-nucleotide small nucleolar RNA is filed under the name Macleaya cordata. RNAcentral's name for it is "Small nucleolar RNA Z103". It matches the Rfam family "Small nucleolar RNA Z103". From Rfam's summary of the family: This family consists of several snoRNA Z103 sequences which are members of the C/D class of snoRNA which contain the C (UGAUGA) and D (CUGA) box motifs. This family seems to be found exclusively in plants. The record is from Rfam by way of RNAcentral. Lineage: Eukaryota; Viridiplantae; Streptophyta; Magnoliopsida; Ranunculales; Papaveraceae.
AUGGACGUGAUGAUCCUUUCCCCAAAUGAUUGACUUUGAUCAUACUGUGCGUUUUUGUAUUUUCUGUUUCAAGAAAAUUUACCAAGCUAGAAAUCUGAUCCAU